Molecule: transfer-messenger RNA, 353 nt
Filed under: Candidatus Omnitrophota bacterium
Lineage: Bacteria; Pseudomonadati; Candidatus Omnitrophota
Rfam family: transfer-messenger RNA
About the family: Bacterial tmRNA, also known as 10Sa RNA or SsrA, is named for its dual tRNA and mRNA-like properties.
Source: RNAcentral
GGGGGUGAAGGGUUUCGACUCGAAUCGUUGAUCUAAGAAGUGCAUGCCGAGGUUGUCAGGAGGCCUCGUAAAACACCUGGCGAUAAAUUAAAUGCUAAUGAAGAGUUAGCUCUAGCCGCUUAAGUGCGGCAAGCCAUCCGGUCGGUUUCCUGGGAGGCCGGAAGCGGCUCUGAUACGCGGGAUAGUUCUGGGUUUUUGCUUUUGAGGCCCGGAGCGAAAUUCUAAAAAGCUGGCUGUUUGCAUAUCCCGCUUACCGGAGAUGCAAACGGCGAGAUUCAAACGGCAAGACAAGCAUGUAGCAUCUUCUGGGUUGAGAUACGAGGACGGCGGUUCAACUCCGCCCACCUCCACCA